GUUCCCGUAGUUGAAUUACAACGGUGGUUUUUCAAGUCAUUAGUCUCGGUGGGAGUCCGGGUGGGAAUU
This 69-nucleotide transfer RNA is filed under the name Narcetes erimelas. RNAcentral's name for it is "tRNA-Glu". It matches the Rfam family "tRNA". Rfam says of the family: Transfer RNA (tRNA) molecules are approximately 80 nucleotides in length. Their secondary structure includes four short double-helical elements and three loops (D, anti-codon, and T loops). Further hydrogen bonds mediate the characteristic L-shaped molecular structure. tRNAs have two regions of fundamental functional importance: the anti-codon, which is responsible for specific mRNA codon recognition, and the 3' end, to which the tRNAs corresponding amino acid is attached (by aminoacyl-tRNA synthetases). tRNAs cope with the degeneracy of the genetic code in two manners: having more than one tRNA (with a specific anti-codon) for a particular amino acid; and 'wobble' base-pairing, i.e. permitting non-standard base-pairing at the 3rd anti-codon position. The record is from RNAcentral. Lineage: Eukaryota; Metazoa; Chordata; Actinopteri; Alepocephaliformes; Alepocephalidae.